This 77-nucleotide transfer RNA is filed under the name Ruminococcus sp. RNAcentral describes it as "tRNA-Val". It matches the Rfam family "tRNA". From Rfam's summary of the family: Transfer RNA (tRNA) molecules are approximately 80 nucleotides in length. Their secondary structure includes four short double-helical elements and three loops (D, anti-codon, and T loops). Further hydrogen bonds mediate the characteristic L-shaped molecular structure. tRNAs have two regions of fundamental functional importance: the anti-codon, which is responsible for specific mRNA codon recognition, and the 3' end, to which the tRNAs corresponding amino acid is attached (by aminoacyl-tRNA synthetases). tRNAs cope with the degeneracy of the genetic code in two manners: having more than one tRNA (with a specific anti-codon) for a particular amino acid; and 'wobble' base-pairing, i.e. permitting non-standard base-pairing at the 3rd anti-codon position. RNAcentral also lists the same sequence under 2 other names. The record is from RNAcentral. Lineage: Bacteria; Bacillati; Bacillota; Clostridia; Eubacteriales; Oscillospiraceae.
GGAGGCUUAGCUCAGCUGGUGAGAGCGCCUGCUUCACACGCAGGAGGUCACUGGUUCAAGUCCAGCAGUCUCCACCA